GCAAGUCGAGCGGUAACAGGAACUUGCUAGCUAAUUCGCUGACGAGCGGCGGACGGGUGAGUAAUGCCUGGGAAUAUGCCUUAGUGUGGGGGAUAACUAUUGGAAACGAUAGCUAAUACCGCAUAAUGUCUUCGGACCAAAGAGGGGGAUCUUCGGACCUCUCGCGCUAAGAUUAGCCCAGGUGAGAUUAGCUAGUUGGUGAGGUAAGAGCUCACCAAGGCGACGAUCUCUAGCUGGUCUGAGAGGAUGAUC
Molecule: ribosomal RNA, 252 nt
Filed under: uncultured bacterium
Lineage: Bacteria
Description: partial 16S ribosomal RNA
Rfam family: Bacterial small subunit ribosomal RNA
Source: RNAcentral